CCAAUAGCGUAUAUUAAAGUUGUUGCAGUUAAAAAGCUCGUAGUUGAACUUCGGGGUCUACCCAUUGGUCAGGCUUAAUUGUCUGCACUGGUGAGAUGGAUCUCUACCUUCUGAGGAACUUUCAUGCCAUUUAUUUGGUGUGGUUGGAAAUCAGGACUGUUACUUUGAAAAAUUUAGAGUGUUUAAAGCAGACUAUCGUCUGAAUACAUUAGCAUGGAAUAAUGAAAUAGGACGGACUGAUUCUAUUUCGUUGGUUUCUAGGAUCACCGUAAUGGUUAAUAGGGAUAGUUGGGGGCAUUAGGAUUCAAUUGUCAGAGGUGAAAUUCUUGGAUUUAUUGAAGACUAACUACUGCGAAAGCAUUUGCCAAGGAUAUUUUCAUUAAUCAAGAACGAAAGUUAGGGGAUCGAAGACGAUCAGAUACCGUCGUAGUCUUAACCAUAAACUAUGUCGACUAGGGAUCGGACGAAGUUAAUUUAUAAUGACGCGUUCGGCACCUUACG
RNAcentral lists this unclassified non-coding RNA (501 nucleotides) under uncultured Diversispora. Its description in RNAcentral is "SSU rRNA". It matches the Rfam family "Eukaryotic small subunit ribosomal RNA", at positions 591 to 1092 of the family's 1831-position model. Lineage: Eukaryota; Fungi; Glomeromycota; Glomeromycetes; Diversisporales; Diversisporaceae. The record is from RNAcentral.